UUCAAUAUGUAUGUUUUUAGUGUCAUUAAUUUUUCAGAUUUGAAUAAAAGUUUGUUGGAUAUUUUGUAGAUUUUUUUUAUCAUUAUUCUGAUUAGUCAUGGGAAUUCAAGGACCAACUGAUCACAACUCUCUUACUAAUGGCUCAUAGAUACAUUGAAGAUUGAGCAGAGAAGGUCAAAGAUUCUAAAAACAGACAACACUUGGAUCCAUAGAAAUCAUGAACAGCAGCUGCUUUUCGGGUGAAGUUUGACAAUUUCAUCUUCUUGAUGUAUUUAGGCGACCACCUUCUCAAUGUAGAAGAGAUUAUGUAUGACGAAGUUGUUGUAAAAUCAACUUAUGUACUGAAUAUGAUUAUUUCUAUUAGUUUAUUAGUUAUUAUAUUGUAUGAUGAUAAACAUUAUUUCUGGAGCAGAUUAAAUGUGUUAUUGCGUUGAUGUAACUGCAUUCUUUUCCCUUUGUUUUAGAAACAAUAAACUGAAUUAAAAAAAUAUGGUCCCCAAAGUUUAUUAUAGUUUCCUCAAAGACUAGCAGGGUCCAUUGGUGACACGGAAACAAUACCACUUUCAAGAAAGAAUUAAAAAAAUGAAAAAGUUAGAGCAAAGCCAAUUAAGCUCUCCCUUGGACCCCUGCUAUGAAGUUUCUAAGUUAUCAUGUCUUGUUGCAAACUGUGUUUGGUUUUUGUGAUGACAAGUACCACUUUUCUUUUGUUUUUUUCAAAAGAAAUAUACGAUUCAAAACAUAUGUUGGAUGUUCGGUCAUUUAGAUUAUAUAACACCACUUAGUGUAGUGACUUUAUUAUUAUACUUACACACAUAUGUUGGAUGUUCAUGUCUAUGAAUAACUAGAUGUUCACAAUUACUGUACAAGUCGAUGGUUGAUUUCGGGGCUUCGCCCCGUGUUCACUAUACACCCGUUCAAGUUAAUGAUCAUGAACUUUGCUCAAGGUUGACGAUCAUGAAUUAAAUGCUUAACUAAAUUCAAGUCAUUCCCUUUUGAGAUACGAAACAUGAAUCCCUGAAUCAAGACAUAAGAAGCUGGAUGUUCAUUUCAAUAAGUAUAUGGAUGGUUAUUUUCAUAAACAACAUGGAUGUUCAUUUUGAUUAACUAGUAACUAUGUCAUGCCUAAAUAAUUAUAGAUCAACAGAGUUACAAGAAUUCAAAAAGUAAAAAGAUCCACCACAACUACGUCCUGCUACUGUCCCAUAAUAAACUCUCAAUACUUUAACCAGUACAUUAGCCAAACAAGCAAAUUCAACGUUACGCUAAAACAUAAGCG
Molecule: non-coding RNA, 1276 nt
Organism: Arachis ipaensis
Lineage: Eukaryota; Viridiplantae; Streptophyta; Magnoliopsida; Fabales; Fabaceae
Source: RefSeq, a predicted model, not a curated record